Molecule: long non-coding RNA, 948 nt
Organism: Oncorhynchus tshawytscha (Chinook salmon)
Lineage: Eukaryota; Metazoa; Chordata; Actinopteri; Salmoniformes; Salmonidae
Source: Ensembl
GGAGAUAGCUGUACACUGUAUGGGCAUCUCAGGAGUCUCAAGAGAGGUUUGUUCUGGUGACAUUGGGGACUCGCUGGUGCAAGCUGCCCCUAGAAACUCUACCUCAGCUUCCCCCUGAGUUCCCCCUAGAGUGUUGUGGUGUGUUUGUGGACUCCCGUGGAGAGAUCGGCUGGUCACAUCUACCUAUAGUUAGUGUGUAUCUAAUUUAACUGAGUUUCAGGGUGGUAAAGAGGGACACCAACACAUGCAACAUGUGUGAGCAAGACACUGUGAGCAAGACAAAGGAGCUGAUCGUGUAGUACAGGAAAAGGCGGGCUGAACAGGUCCUCAUUAACAUCAACGGGGCUGUAGUGGAGCGGGUCGAGAGUUUCAAGUUCCUUGGUGUCCACAUCACCAACGAACUAUCAUGGUCCAAACACACCAAGACAGUGGUGUAGAGGGCCCAACAACAUCUUUUUCCCCCUCAGGAGACUGAAAAGAUUUGGCAUGGGUCCCCAGAUCCUCAAAAGGUUCUACAGCUGUACCAUCGAGAGUAUCCUGACCGGUUGCAUCACCGCAUGGUAUGGCAACUGCUCGGCCUCCAACCGCAAGGCACUACAGAGGGUAGUGCGUACGGCCCAGUACAUCACUGGGGCCACGUUUCCUGCCAUCCAGGAUCUCUAUACUAGGCGGUGUUAGAAGAAAGACCAAACAUUUUUCAAAGACUCCGAUCACCCAAGUCAUAGACUGUUCUCUCUGCUACCGCACAGCAAGCGGUACUGGAGUGCCAAGUCUAGGACCAAAAGGCUCCUUAAAACAGCUUCUACCCCAAAUCGUAAGACUGCUGAACAAUUGAUCAAAUUGCCGCACCCCCCUUUUGUUUUUACACUGCUUCUUCUCGCUGUUCAUUAUAUACUAAUCACUUCACUUUACCCUUACCUACAAAUUACCUCCACAUUGACUCGGUAC